Molecule: unclassified non-coding RNA, 338 nt
Filed under: uncultured fungus
Lineage: Eukaryota; Fungi
Description: partial contains 5.8S ribosomal RNA and internal transcribed spacer 2
Rfam family: 5.8S ribosomal RNA (bases 1-134)
Source: RNAcentral
UGGUUCUGGCAUCGAUGAAGAACGCAGCAAAAUGCGAUAAGUAAUGCGAAUUGCAGAAUUUCCGUGAGUCAUCGAAUCUUUGAACGCACAUUGCGCCCAUUGGUAUUCCGAUGGGCAUGCCUGUUCGAGCGUCAUUAUCCUCUCUCAAACCCCGGGUUUGGUGUUGGGCCGGUGUUGGUGUCACAACCAACUGGUCUCAAAAACAAUGACGGUGUCCGUGGGACCCUCUUCGCGACGAGCUUCUUCGGAGCAUGCGUAGAGUCUAAAGGACCUUCCGGGCCGGUCUCCUUAGUAUAUUUUCUCAGGUUGACCUCGGAUCAGGUAGGAAUACCCGCUGA